GACGAACGCUGGCGGCGUGCUUAACACAUGCAAGUCGAACGAUGAAGCCGGAGCUUGCUCUGGUGAAUUAGUGGCGAACGGGUGAGUAACACGUGAGUAACCUGCCCUUGACUCUGGGAUAACUGCUAGAAAUGGUAGCUAAUACCGGAUACGACCCUCGGAGGCAUCUCCAGGGGGUGGAAAGAAUUUCGGUCAAGGAUGGACUCGCGGCCUAUCAGCUAGUUGGUGAGGUAACGGCUCACCACGGCGACGACGGGUAACCGGCCUGAGAGGGUGACCACCAACACUGGGACUGAGACACGGCCCAGCCUCCUACGGGAGGCAGCGGUGGGGAAUAUUGCACAAUGGGCGCAAGCCUGAUGCAGCAACGCCGCGUGAGGGAUGACGGCCUUCGGGUUGUAAACCUCUUUUAGUAGGGAAGAAGCGAAAGUGACGGUACCUGCAGAAAAAGCACCGGCUAACUACGUGCCAGCCGCCGCCGUAA
RNAcentral lists this ribosomal RNA (484 nucleotides) under uncultured bacterium. Its description in RNAcentral is "partial 16S ribosomal RNA". It matches the Rfam family "Bacterial small subunit ribosomal RNA", at positions 28 to 523 of the family's 1533-position model. The record is from RNAcentral.